RNAcentral lists this long non-coding RNA (282 nucleotides) under Gallus gallus (chicken). Lineage: Eukaryota; Metazoa; Chordata; Aves; Galliformes; Phasianidae. The record is from RNAcentral.
GGUUGCUGCGCGAGUUCUCGCUCUUGUGCGUCUUCACUUGGACCAUUUAGAUCCAUCAAACUUGGAUCAAUAAAGUUCAGAGACUCCUGUAGGAAAAAAAAAAAAAAUGGAGAUGAAAAAUAUGUACAUCUCUACUUUAAAAGUUCUUCCACUGAAAUCAUAAAACAUCACAGAAACAGAUGAAGAGAGAAAAGGGAUAAAGAUACCUGAUCAGAACCAACACGUUUAAAUGACUUGUUUUCUGAAGUCAGUUGUAAAGAAUGAAAUAAAGAGAAAGCUGGA